UGGGGAAUAUUGCACAAUGGGCGCAAGCCUGAUGCAGCCAUGCCGCGUGUAUGAAGAAGGCCUUCGGGUUGUAAAGUACUUUCAGCGGGGAGGAAGGUGUUGAGGCUAAUAACCUCAGCAAUUGACGUUACCCGCAGAAGAAGCACCGGCUAACUCCGUGCCAGCAGCCGCGGUAAUACGGAGGGUGCAAGCGUUAAUCGGAAUUACUGGGCGUAAAGCGCUCGCAGGCGGUCUGUCAAGUCGGAUGUGAAAUCCCCGGGCUCAACCUGGGAACUGCAUUCGAAACUGGCAGGCUAGAGUCUUGUAGAGGGGGGUAGAAUUCCAGGUGUAGCGGUGAAAUGCGUAGAGAUCUGGAGGAAUACCGGUGGCGAAGGCGGCCCCCUGGACAAAGACUGACGCUCAGGUGCGAAAGCGUGGGGAGCAAACA
This 427-nucleotide ribosomal RNA is filed under the name uncultured bacterium. RNAcentral's name for it is "partial 16S ribosomal RNA". It matches the Rfam family "Bacterial small subunit ribosomal RNA", at positions 355 to 774 of the family's 1533-position model. The record is from RNAcentral.